Myxocyprinus asiaticus (Chinese sucker) is the source of this 5906-nucleotide long non-coding RNA. RefSeq lists it as uncharacterized. The record is from RefSeq and is a predicted model, not a curated record. NCBI's taxonomy places the organism in Eukaryota, Metazoa, Chordata, Actinopteri, Cypriniformes, Catostomidae. The transcript is spliced from 3 exons.
CAUCAGCAUCCGGCCACAACAAACUAUAAGAACGUUAUAUAGUAAUAGCACAUGGAUUUCUUUAGUGAUUUACUUAUUUGCCACACCGAGACUGGAUUACAGCGUGAAGACCUACCCAUAUGUUAAACUGUACAGCCAGAUUCCCAAAUGAAGCACGAGCCGUUCUCAGAAACAACAUUUACAUUAUGAAGAUGCUUUGCAUUGGAGCUGCAUGGUUCAGUGCCCUCAAAGAGCUUAUAGACCUGUGAGUUUCAGAUUUUAUAACUGAGAGCUCUACAUACAGUAAAGGCGGAUCCAAAAGCAAACAUGUCUUUAACAUCCAUCAUUAUUUGGGCGCUCACAACAUGCACCUGUGUUUCCGUGGGGCAGAUUUUGACUCAAUCUGAGGCUCAAACAGUGCAGCCUGGUCAAACUGUCACUAUACAGUGCAAACAUACACCAGCACUUGACUGUGUUAAAAAAAACACCACUAUGAAUUGCAUGUCCUGGUAUCAUCAGAUUCCCGGAGAAGCUCCUAAACUCCUGAUUUAUUACACAGAUGUGAGAGCUUCAGGGGUGUCUUCUAGAUUUAGUGGCAGUAAGAAGGAAGACAAGAUUGAUUUCUCUUUGACCAUCAGUGGAGUACAGCCUGAUGAUUCGGGAGAUUAUUACUGUCAGAGUCAACAUUUCUUGAAUAAGACAUAUUCUGUGUUCACACAGUGUUUAUGCAUCAUACAAAAACUUUCAUCUGUCAGACUUCACUGCUACAGCUGGAUCCUUCUGAAAGUCUAGAGAGAGGAAGGAGACACAGAUCACUGAAGAUAUACAUACAUAGCAGAUAAAACAGUCCCAGGUUUUAGUUCAUCGCUGUAAAAUAUUUGAACACACUCAUCUACUUUUUUCUUAUAGCACUCAAACUUUAAAUGGCUUACGUAUGAGAAUGUAAACAGCGAACCUAGUCUCAAAACUGCAAUCACAAAAAACCCUGUCAUCCCUGCGGUAUUCAAUUCCUGCUUGAAUGAAUUGAAAUGAAUUUUCUGUUAAACUCAUGUUACAUGUAACUGCAUGCAAAUUAAUUUAAGAUUGCAUUUAUUACAUGGUGUUUUAUAAACAAAGUUCGGGAGGAGCAAGUUCAUUUAAUCCGACCAAUCACACAGUGAGAGUAAGAGGAUAUAAACAGCUGCUUACCUCUACGUAGCAUUGAGAGUUUCCGGCGUUCGGCCCCACCCAUUGCCCACGAACAGACCCAUACAAGUGACUCGGAUCAUUGGAUUGCAACUCCGCUGCAAAGCAUUUGCCUUCAUCAGAACAGCUCUUCCAUCUAAAUGAUCUCGUUUCAACAGAAGCUGCCACAGCAGCCACUUUAAGUGCUACUUCUACUCUGUUUUUCCUCCUAAUCUCUGUUCGCCGGAGCAGAUCAUUGCGUGAAGCUGCUUCGGCAGUGUAUACAUGUGAAACAGCUCUCUACGACUGUUCAUAUGUUCUCAUCUAAACUUUCCACCCGAAGUGGACCAUUCGUGUGAAGCUGCUUCUGCAAACUGGCUACUUCGGUGCCUCAAACAUGUGAAAAAGUUCCCUGCAUCUGCUCAUAUGUUCUCUCAUCUACAUUUCCACCCGCAGCGGUCCGUUGCGAGCUCGCAUCCACGAACAGGCGCUGCUCCGGCUUCAUGUUAUUCAAGCUCUAUUACAGCUCUAUUGGAACACGUGAAACAAAGAUUAACUUUUUAAUUCAACCAUCAUGGCAAUGCUCCCCAGCUUUUCAAUCCAGUUCUCCAGCACAGGUGAUUCUUGUCUGCCUUAUUAACUCUCCGCACAGCUCGUUUAGGGCGUGAUCCAAUCAGCGAUUCCGUUCAUCAUCUUUUUGCAUGAAUAUUACAGUUGUUCUCCCUUCGAGGUGCCCUUCGGAGUGCGAUUUAUUCCAUUUGAACGCGGGGCAAUCAUGUAACGGUGAACACUUUCCAAUCGACUGAUGCUCUAAAUUACAACUUUUUUCCAAACCAACGCAGACAUUUUUAGUGCGAGUUCGCUGCCGCAGCAGCCCUCGCUCCGACCACGCUCAGCUCACCACAGCUAUACAUUGCUUCUGUCCGAACAGACAGGCUCUGCAAGAGGUGGAUCGUGCAGCACGUCCAACUCAUUUAUAAUUAUUCCACAAAGUUUCUCGCCUCCUCACCGCAUAAAAACUCACCUUACCGCGCAGCCCCUGUUAACCAUUAAGUAACCACUUCUACAGACUUUUAUUCAUUUCUAGACCAUAACAUGACUUCUCUCCUCCCGCCCAGGACAAACACUUCACGCAUGUAAAUCAUCUAUUUUAUUUUACAGUCUUUGCCAGAAUCAUUGGAUUUCAAACUCUUAAGCUCGACCAUAGAACCUAAUUGCUCAUGACUUUAAAAGCGUUCAACAAUCUCAUAAUUUUACGCUCCACCCAAGUUUAAAGUAACGGGUUUAAAUCGACGGCAAAUUAUUCUGCUUGGCACCUUGCUUAAACUCCAAUAUUUUUGUAGUAUUUAUUACAAGUCAAUAUAAACGAGUCACUUUAUUUCAGUCGUUCUGUAGCAUUCAUUACAAAGUCAUCAAUAUGAACAAGUUGUUUUAUUCACCACACUACUGCAAACUGUGCUUAUAGUAUCUAUUAAAACCAACUCUCAGGCACAAACUCCUACGAUUUCAUACGUCCUCGUCAAAACGAGACUAGUCAUCCCAUGCCAAUAAUACAGAGUCAUGAAAUGACUCGCAUUACGUUGGAAACAAUCUACUAAGCUCCAAACCAUACGCUUAAGUUUAUAACAUCAGACUACAGUAUUCAUCUGGGCACUACAGUAUUCAUCUGGGCAUUUCAGGUGCCUUCUAAUUUCAUGACUGCAAACGUUGCAGACGCAAGCAUGUUUCCUGACAUUGUUUCACAUAUGUUCCCGACAUUUAAUCUAGCAACAACUAUGUUCAGGCAUCCACAGUUGCUACAUUUACCACAUUUUCUACUGAUUCAACACAUCCCUAAGCGGCACAAAUGUGCUGUCCAGGUACCGCAACUGCACCGUCUUUUGGACGGUGCGUCUAGACCUCGCACUACACCACAAGCAGCGCAAUGUGCUGUCCAAAUGCUGCAACUGUGGUGUCUUUGGGGCUGUGCAAACAUACCUCCUACUGCACUGUAAACAGCGCAAAUACGCUGUCCAAGUGGUGCAACCAUGGCGUCUUUAGGGCCAUACGACAAACUCCAACUACACGGCAAACAGCGCAAAUGCACUGUCCAACAGUACCGCAACAGUUCAUGUGCCACAACCUCGACACAUGUUUCAGACCAUGCGUCUCAGCCCCCAUGGCUCCGUACCCAUACUAUGCCACUCAUACUAAACGAACCAUCACUACCUAGUGAUUGACAAUUGGGCUGCUUUAGGUCUUCCAUAAACAGUCCGCCACAAGCCGGCAUCUCCACAUCAAUCAAUUUUAUUUAAAUGUCACCUACUAUACACCCUCAUGUCAUGUGCUCGGGCAUGGCGAAGCCCUCCAGUUGCAAUAACAACAGCUCUCCACAAAAGCUCAUUUCUAUGCAACCGCAACACCACUGUCUUUCAGAGUUUCAGCCUAAAUUUCACUCUCCAUUCCUCCCUCUGGUUCCUUCUGCAAGCGGCUCCAUUUGUACUAUCUUCUUUGGCACCUCUGCCCAUCUGGCACACAUGGCUAACACUCAACUUCCAUUCCAGUACGUCAUUUCAGGUUCCAUUCUUUUGGGGAAGGUAGAUAUUGUUGUUAAAAUCAGUCGGUUACUCUUAUUCCUUCCAACACAUCACUUCCCCUCCUCACGAGGCUAUGACGCCAGUGACUUGCUGUUCCGUUUUUUGGCUUCCUUUGGGGGGCAUUCAAGCUCAGGUCAAGUCUCGAGCCUCGAGCCCUCCGCCAGGGACUGCAAGCCACAUAUGUUUACGCUAUCGUCACUGCAGGAUUACAUUAACUUGCGAACAACAGAAACAUAAGUAUGAGGAAAUAUCAAAAUAUAUUUAACUGGUUUAAAUAUCGCAAUCAAAAAACUGUGUAAUCAUGUAAGGGAAACAACAGACAAUGACUCCAGUAUCAUACAUGUCUGCAAUUAACAUGUGUGCAAUUUACAAUAUUAAAAAAAUAUUUAAAGUCAUUGAAGGCUAACAAUUCUCAUGUUCUAGUAAUAGCAUUAUAAGGGGAAAAUUGGGAAUAAACCCCCUUAAGAACAAUGUACAUUUACUUUUAAAUUGUAACAAUCUUACAGUAGAUGUAAGUUUAGCAUGUACAUGGUGAUGAUGCAUUGUAAUGUGUAGAGACUUAUUGCUGCCAUCUCUCUUUCUCUCUCUCUCUCUCUCAAUUUAAAAUUUUCAAUUUGAAGUACUUUAUUAGCAUGAUUGUGUUUACUUACAAUAUUACCAAAGCAUUAAUACACAAAACAAAUAAUGAAAAGAAAAAAAAGAAUAUAACAGUAACAAAUAACAAUAAAAAUAGAAUUAAAAUAAGGUGCCAAGUAAUAAAUAAAAACAAAUAAAUAAAAAAAAUGAAACAAUAUAUUGUACCAUAUACAAAAUAAACAUUAAACAGUACUUUAUGAACAACAACGAAAAAAUACUGUAACAUAUGUACUGUACAUUAAUACCCCUUGAUUAUGUUGAUCAAGGCAGUGAUUGGUUUCUGGGAGUGUGCAGCUCAAAAAUGAAAUUUGCUGCAACAGAUAAGUAAUUGUCCUCCCCCAGUAACACCUGCAUUUGACUGUUUCUGCUGAACUGGAAAACUGUGGCAUGAGUUGAGAGUUUUUGUUAUAUAUAUACUGUAUAUAUAUAUAUUUCUCUUUCACCUCUGUAAAUUUCUCAUAGUAAAUGAGAAUGUGUGUCUCUGUCUCGACCUCGACCUAUGGCCAGACUGUGAGCCUAAGCCUGUAUUUGGUAAGGACCCAUCUCUGCUUUGUAUUUCUAACAGUGUAGAUAUUCUGCCAAAAUAAUAUACCUUCUGUUUAGGGCCCGAUAACAUUCCAGUUUACUUUACUUUCCUUUUCCCAAUGGUCCAAAUAUGAAUUUUUGCUUUUUUUUAUGAUUUGGUUUAUUCUGAUUUGGUUUUGUUCAGCAGUGCUGGUCUGAAACUGGUGUUUGUAGAUGAUUUGUGAGUUUCAGAGCCAGCUGACAAGGGAGACUGGUUUUUGGCCUCAACUCUUGGGUUUUAAGGGCUUCAUGUUGCAGUGUGUUAGGGGAACUUGAAUUUAAGUGUGUCCAGAAUUUGAGGGAUCGUUUUUGAAUCUGUAUAAUUAGGGAGUAUCUGCCUAGUUCAGCCCUACAUGCAUUAGUAGUAAUAUUAUUAUUCAUGUUUCUACAGAAUUCUGCAUGCAUAAAUUUUAUGGGAUGUUUGUCUCAUCUAGAGUAGUCUGCCAGACAGAGUGGACCCCAAACCCCACAUCUGUACAGAACAAUAGGCAUACUAUCAUGGUUUAGGUCCUAUUUAUCAGACUGCUACCACUUUGUCUGUGUAAAUGAGGAAUUGUCAGAUGAAAUUAAAGUUAAAAAUGGAGAGCCACAGGGAUCAGUUUUAGGGCCUCUGCUUUUCUCCUUAUAUAUAGUAUGCUUCCCCUGGGAGACAUUAUCAGAAACCGUGGAAUUAGCUUUCACUGUUAUGCCGAUGAUAUCCAACUUUAUAUUUCUUCGAAACCCUACGAAAUUUCCAAGUUAGCAGAGUGUAUAAAUGACAUCAAAGAUUGGAUGGCUAGAAAUUCCCUUCUAUUCAGUUUUCUUUUUUUUUUUUUUGUUAUUAAAUUUUUUUAUUGAUUCCAAGACAGACAAGAAUAAAUUUAACCACAAAAUUAUACAUUAGGAAUCAACUUAAAACCCUUUAUAACGUCUGGAAGUCAUCUCCUCGAAAGCUGCCAAUUUACCCAACUCGGUGCACCACUCACGAAAUGAGGGUGCAUCAGUUGA